This 492-nucleotide ribosomal RNA is filed under the name uncultured bacterium. RNAcentral describes it as "partial 16S ribosomal RNA". It matches the Rfam family "Bacterial small subunit ribosomal RNA", at positions 29 to 507 of the family's 1533-position model. The record is from RNAcentral.
AGUGAACGCUGGCGGUAGGCCUAACACAUGCAAGUCGAACGGCAGCACAGUAAGAGCUUGCUCUUACGGGUGGCGAGUGGCGGACGGGUGAGGAAUACAUCGGAAUCUACUUUUUCGUGGGGGAUAACGUAGGGAAACUUACGCUAAUACCGCAUACGACCUACGGGUGAAAGCAGGGGAUCUUCGGACCUUGCGCGAUUGAAUGAGCCGAUGUCGGAUUAGCUAGUUGGCGGGGUAAAGGCCCACCAAGGCGACGAUCCGUAGCUGGUCUGAGAGGAUGAUCAGCCACACUGGAACUGAGACACGGUCCAGACUCCUACGGGAGGCAGCAGUGGGGAAUAUUGAACAAUGGGCGCAAGCCUGAUCCAGCCAUACCGCGUGGGUGAAGAAGGCCUUCGGGUUGUAAAGCCCUUUUGUUGGGAAAGAAAAGCAGCAGGUUAAUACGCCGCUGUUCUGACGGUACCCAAAGAAUAAGCACCGGCUAACUUCGUG